Molecule: ribosomal RNA, 517 nt
Filed under: Saccharomyces cerevisiae (brewer's yeast)
Lineage: Eukaryota; Fungi; Ascomycota; Saccharomycetes; Saccharomycetales; Saccharomycetaceae
Description: eukaryotic LSU rRNA
Rfam family: Eukaryotic large subunit ribosomal RNA
Source: RNAcentral
GGCGAGUGAAGCGGCAAAAGCAUCAAAUUUGAAAUCUGGUACCUUCGGUGCCCGAGUUGUAAUUUGGAGAGGGCAACUUUGGGGCCGUUCCUUGUCUAUGUUCCUUGGAACAGGACGUCAUAGAGGGUGAGAAUCCCGUGUGGCGAGGAGUGCGGUUCUUUGUAAAGUGCCUUCGAAGAGUCGAGUUGUUUGGGAAUGCAGCUCUAAGUGGGUGGUAAAUUCCAUCUAAAGCUAAAUAUUGGCGAGAGACCGAUAGCGAACAAGUACAGUGAUGGAAAGAUGAAAAGAACUUUGAAAAGAGAGUGAAAAAGUACGUGAAAUUGUUGAAAGGGAAGGGCAUUUGAUCAGACAUGGUGUUUUGUGCCCUCUGCUCCUUGUGGGUAGGGGAAUCUCGCAUUUCACUGGGCCAGCAUCAGUUUUGGUGGCAGGAUAAAUCCAUAGGAAUGUAGCUUGCCUCGGUAAGUAUUAUAGCCUGUGGGAAUACUGCCAGCUGGGACUGAGGACUGCGACGUAAGUC